GUCACUGCUUUAGCUAGAGUCGCAGGUGCCUCCUCAAAGUUCAGAGAGGAGGCCGACUUAUCAGAGCCAUCCUAGGGCCCAACCAAUCAGGCGGCAAUCUCCAAGCCCCCGAUCAGGGCAUGAUUCAACCCUUUGUCGCCACUCUCUUCUGUGCUUCGAGGCAUGCACCGUCUGAGAUCUCAACAUCGAAAAGUGGUUCAAGAUGC
RNAcentral lists this long non-coding RNA (206 nucleotides) under Elaeis guineensis (African oil palm). RNAcentral describes it as "long non-coding RNA (EGUI_LNC074278)". Lineage: Eukaryota; Viridiplantae; Streptophyta; Magnoliopsida; Arecales; Arecaceae. The record is from RNAcentral.